AAAUACAUGGAAAUCAUAUUUAUGAGUGAAAUCUAAAAUAUUUAUUUAAUUAAAUAAAAUGGUGCUUUAAACUCAACUAGAUUUUGAUCCGUCCUUCAAAGGGCGGAAAUAUUUUUUUUUAAUUUUUUAUAAAAAAUUUAAUUUUCACAUUUGUGUUUUUUUGUAAUUAUAUUUGUGUUUUUAUGUAAUCAAUAAAAAUAUAUGUUAUAAAAUAAUAGUAAUUUAAAGGUUGAUCCGCCGGCAUACAUUCGUUUUUUUGUAAUUAUAUACACAUAUACCUAUUUUUUGUAAUCAUAUUUAUCUAUUUUAGAUCUUAAUCCGUGCUUCAAGUGUGGGUAUAAUGUUGGUUUCUAUUUUUUUGUUUUUAUGAAAAUAUGUUACAUUUUCUGCAUUUUUUUCUUAUAUGUUCAAAAUUUUAAUUUAUAUGUUUGUGUAUAACAUUUUUUUAAAAAAAUUAUUAGUAAGAGGUUUUGAUGUAUUGAAUUUUUUUUUUGUUAUAACUAUACAAUUAUGUCAUCGCCAUUUCAUUCAUUAAUUUUGAACUUUAUUCCUAAAUAGUGGUUAAUUGUUAUUUUUUUUAAAAAAAUAAGAAAGUAUAGUUAUAAUUUUGUUUAGCAAUUAAAUAGAUAAAAUUAUAUAUUUUCACUAAAUUUUCAUGAUUUGAUUUCAUAUAAUGUUAUUAUUAGAUGUCCAUGUAAAAUUAUUCAAUACUCAAAAUUCAUUCCACUUAAAUCCAUGGAGUGAUGAUUAAAUAAAAAAAGUUUAGGAUCAAACCACAUUUGAUAUAAACCCAAAAAGAAGGAAUAUUUGUUGAUAUAUAUAACUGUAGGUAAUAUAUUUUUUUCGAAAACAAAAACUGUCUGUAAUAUAUGUGUUUGUACCGAGAAUAUAGGAUGGAAGUUACAAAAAAAAAAACUGACGUUACUAUAGAUCUAAUCUGUAUUCCAGAAAUUAGAUUUUAUAUGGUCCAUAUUAUUAGGUAACAAAUCGAAAAACUGACGUUAUAUAUUAUUACCUAUUCAUAUUUUUUAUUUAAAAAAGUCGUGGUUACAUUUUAUGGUGGUGGCCGCCAAUUAUUUAGCAAAUAAAGUGGUGGUUACAUUUUAUUUUCUUUGUAGUUAUAUUAAAAAGGAAUGUAUUAUUUAAAUUAUAAAUUGGACUCAACUAUUAUCAAUUGGGCAUGUUCCUAAUUUAAUAAUAUAGAUAUUCCAUUCUUGGACUCCUUCCCACGUUAACCGACCACGAGAGUAGAUACAGGUACUUGGGCUGGCCUAGAACUGGACCCAAGUUAACAGAAAAAUCAGUUCAUUCUCAACUUUUUUCUCUUUGAAUUCAGUUUUUGAUUAUGUAACAAGAGAAUAUGUUAUGCCUGAAAAUGAUUUUCCGAAGUGAAAUGAUAAAAUACUGUUUACAAAAGUGUUGCAGAUUUCAUAAACACAUGAUGAUUUUCAGGAGUGAAGCCAAAGACGAUCACGGAGCCUCUCUUCACCAGUUCCAAACAUCUCGUCGACUUUUUCUCCGUUUCUGUAAAACUGAAACGUUGGCGUGUAGCGGAUGUGGCGAGUGGUUUCAGGGCAUUCGUCGAUGUCUGCGUAAACAAACUUCAUCCCUUUAAAACUGUUGCUAAGCUCUUCGAACGCAGGAAAAAUCUGGCUACAAACUCCACACCUGAAAAAAAAACACUCUCAUUGAAGCAUUACGUCGAACAGUUUGUAAACAUAACAUGCUGUCUUUCGUACAGACAAAAAAAAAAAAACAGAACAAGGUCAUAUACCACGAAGC
Brassica rapa (field mustard) is the source of this 1782-nucleotide long non-coding RNA. RefSeq lists it as uncharacterized. Lineage: Eukaryota; Viridiplantae; Streptophyta; Magnoliopsida; Brassicales; Brassicaceae. The record is from RefSeq and is a predicted model, not a curated record.